RNAcentral lists this ribosomal RNA (509 nucleotides) under uncultured bacterium. RNAcentral describes it as "bacterial SSU rRNA". It matches the Rfam family "Bacterial small subunit ribosomal RNA", at positions 366 to 869 of the family's 1533-position model. The record is from RNAcentral.
GCACAAUGGGCGCAAGCCUGAUGCAGCCAUGCCGCGUGUGUGAAGAAGGCCUUCGGGUUGUAAAGCACUUUCAGUCAGGAGGAAAGGUUAGUAGUUAAUACCUGCUAGCUGUGACGUUACUGACAGAAGAAGCACCGGCUAACUCCGUGCCAGCAGCCGCGGUAAUACGGAGGGUGCGAGCGUUAAUCGGAAUUACUGGGCGUAAAGCGUACGCAGGCGGUUUGUUAAGCGAGAUGUGAAAGCCCCGGGCUCAACUUGGGAACUGCAUUUCGAACUGGCAAACUAGAGUGUGAUAGAGGGUGGUAGAAUUUCAGGUGUAGCGGUGAAAUGCGUAGAGAUCUGAAGGAAUACCGAUGGCGAAGGCAGCCACUUGGGUCAACACUGACGCUCAUGUACGAAAGCGUGGGGAGCAAACAGGAUUAGAUACCUUGGUAGUCCACGCCGUAAACGAUGUCUACUAGAAGCUCGGAGCCUCGGCUCUGUUUUUCAAAGCUAACGCAUUAAGUGAC